GAUGAACGCUGGCGGCGUGCCUAAUACAUGCAAGUCGAGCGAACAGACGAGGAGCUUGCUCCUUCGACGUUAGCGGCGGACGGGUGAGUAACACGUAGGUAACCUACCUAUAAGACUGGGAUAACUUCGGGAAACCGGAGCUAAUACCGGAUAAUAUUUCGAACCGCAUGGUUCGAUAGUGAAAGAUGGCUUUGCUAUCACUUAUAGAUGGACCUGCGCCGUAUUAGCUAGUUGGUAAGGUAACGGCUUACCAAGGCAACGAUACGUAGCCGACCUGAGAGGGUGAUCGGCCACACUGGAACUGAGACACGGUCCAGACUCCUACGGGAGGCAGCAGUAGGGAAUCUUCCGCAAUGGGCGAAAGCCUGACGGAGCAACGCCGCGUGAGUGAUGAAGGUCUUCGGAUCGUAAAACUCUGUUAUAGGGGAAGAACAAACGUGUAAGUAACUGUGCACGUCUUGACGGUACCUAAUCAGAAAGCCACGGCUAACUACGUG
Molecule: ribosomal RNA, 497 nt
Filed under: uncultured bacterium
Lineage: Bacteria
Description: partial 16S ribosomal RNA
Rfam family: Bacterial small subunit ribosomal RNA
Source: RNAcentral